AUGGCCCACGGCGCCGGAUGCCUCGUCCGUCAGCCCGCCUCUGCCCUCGCCUCCAGCUCACCUCUCCCAUGCCAUCAGCCUGCGAUGGAUGGGAUGCCAGGAGCUGCCGUCUCAGCCACGUCGGGCGGGGACCGCUCACGGGGCCGGCUGUUUGGGGCCAUUAAUCAGGCCUCUAAUGAGGGCAGCCGGCUUCUCCUCUGCUGCUUCUCAAGGGCACAGAUGCACAGCGGGCUUGGCGGCUCCGAGGCUGUAUCCUGGGAGGGGGAAGGACGGGGUGGGGACGCAGGGACGGCACGGAGCAGCACGGCCACCGGGCUGGCAGGGCCAUCUCUCACCAGGCUCCCGAGAGCACAGACAGGGGACACGGGGGUGGACCCAGCACCGGGCCAGCUAAGUCCUGGGGACGCAGGGAUCCCCUGGGAGGGGAGGCCGCGUCCUUCCCAGUUCAGGAGGGGUCCUGGCCCAUCCCGGUGGGAGUGGACAGAGGGGGCCGCCUCCUGGGGUCGGGCUCCGACCCCCGCCCUGGGGAGCGGCGGGGACCACCCUCCAGGGCUGUUCAGGGGUCCCGCCCAAGGUCACGCCCUCCUCACCCACAGGUGCCAGUGUCCCAGGCCGCGGGAGCAGGACCCCGCGGGCAGGACCGCACAGAAACCCUCUCGCAGCGCGGGAGCCCAGAGACCCGCCCUCGCUUCCCCAAGCCAGCCCCAGAGGCUCGGGCGGGACGCUGUGCUGGCGCCCUCUGCUGGCUGGUCCUCUCUGCCCGCUCUGCCCUGUGCCCAAGCGCCACCUCCCUAUGCCCCACCCGGCGGUUUGCUGAGCCCACGCCCCCGGGCCGGGCAGGGUGCAAACACGAGCAGAGCCUGGCGGGAGCUGGGAGGCUGGGGACAAGCCCCCAGCUUGUGUGAGGUGCCGGGGCCCAUGGGGGCGGGCGGAGAGCGUCCAGAACCUCUGAGGGGCUUCGGUCUGAGGGACGGCGGGGCCCGGGCAGCGAGCUGUCCUGGGCGACGUGGUCAAGGCAGAAGGAAGACGGGGCGCAGGCCGGAUCCCAGACCGAGCACCGUCUCUCUGGCCAGCACUGGGCCCAUCCCCACUCUGAGAAUUUCCGGGAGAAACCCCACUCCUCUGCCUGGGACGCCGCCCCCUCCAGGCCCGACCCAGCCGUCUCCACGCAGCUCGCAGCUCGUGCUCUGAGCCUGACGUGCAAGGGGGCGGAGGGAGCCCGGGAGCAGAGGCAGCCGGACAAGACAGAAACACGUCCUGUCUCCAGAGAGUUGACAGCCUCACCCUGAGGCCAGGACGGGUAGAAAUAAAGGCUCGCGGAGAACAAGGAGGAAACUGAAAAUACGGGAGCAGACACAGACUUAAAAGGAAGGAGUCGACCCUGAGGAUAUGCCCCGUUCAGAACAGCAAACCAAGGUGUCCCGAAGGGACCUGGGCGUGAAGGUCGAGAGGAAACCAACCCGCAGGUUCGGUCGGGAAAACAGAAGUUCCAGGAGCAGGAGCAGGGAUGCCAAAAGGAAGGCGUCAGACGAAUUAAAGGACUUCUCCUGGGUUUGAAGGACUUGCAUUUUAAGUCUGAAAGUCCAGAGACAAGCUCUCAGGUGCCUGAAAAAAGACCAGCUCCAAGAGCGCAAUCCUGUGAAAUUUCAGAACAUCAGUGAUGGAGAGAAGUAGUUUUGUUUUGUUCUGUUUUAAUUCAGAAAGACAGGAAGGCAAGUCAUGUGACAUUAACAAGCCCCGAGUCGGGGUAAUAGCACCAUUCUCAGCAGCACCCCUGGGCUCAGGGAGAAGCCGUGCCUCCAGCCUUUGAGGGGCAGCAGUUUCCAGCCUGGAAUUCUGCCGCUGGUCCAACUGCCCCUCACCCCUGAGAGCAGACAUGCCAGCUCUAAUGGGCUUCCCUGGCGGCUCAGCGGUAGAGGCUGUGCCUGCAAAGCAGGAGUGACAGGAGACGCAGGUCCGACCCCUGGGUGGGGAAGAUUCCCUGCAGAAGGGCAUGGCAACCCACUCUAGUACCCUUGCCCGGGUAAUGCCAUGGGCAGAGGAGCCUGUCGGGCUACAGUCCAUGGGGUUGCAAAGAGACUCGACUGAAGCGACUUAGCACGCGUCUGAGCUGUAAUCACUUUCAAUUCCCAGGAAACAACCAGAGGUGCUGCACUGACCUCAGCUUGUGUCCAGGAGGGCGGGGGUCCCCCAGGCGAGGCGCCUCGGUGGCCGGCUGAGCAGUUAGAAGGCUCUGGAAAGAGUCUCCAGGAGGGCAGAGGAGGUCCCAGGAUUCCUGGCACGUUGACUCCUCAGAAAAGAGGUUUCAUGCCAACGUCCUGAUAAACGGGUGAUAGACACAGGAAGGAAAUAUUAACACGAGGGCAACAAAAUGUUUUACAGGAAAUGAAGCUGACGUGACAGCCGCGAGCGCUGUUUGCAUAUCGACAGGGCUGCCGAGGCUGAGCCCCAGUCUUGCCGAGGGGAGGGGGGGAGGCGAUUGAAACCCCUCUAUGAGAAGGUUGUCAGGUUUGGAGGGGAAGCGGGGGAGAAUGAAACCAUCACUCUCCAUAAUAGGAAAUCGAUACGUAUAUAAUCCAAGAAGGAAAAAAAGUCAGGGAAAAGCAGUGUAAGCGUGUUUUGUGGAGGAGACGGAGGUAAACACAAAGAGGAGUGACUCGAUUGAGAUUCUCUGCUUCGGAAGGGCAGGCAGGUGUGGGAAGGGCGGGAGUUGCAGGGGCGGAGGGUAUGCCACUGCCGCUUUUCAUGAAAAGCCCAAGACACUGUUUGCCCCGAGCAGAGUCAGAGCCGGCAGGUGGCGGACAGCCUGCCUCCAGGGGCCGGCGCCCCCGGUCAUAGACUGCGCAUCGCCCGUGAGUGGCCGCCUGGGCCACUGGCCAGGCCCCCUGAGGUCCUUUCUGAGGACAGUACUAUCCCAGGCCGCGUGAGGACAAGUGCUCUGAGAGAUGAGGCUUCUGCCUGCCUCGUCCUCAGCAGUCCUCGGGGUGUCCACUCACCACCCAGGGAGCUGGCUCCUGGGAGCCCCAGGGUGAGGGUACACCUGGCCCCUGACCAAUCUGCCCAUCGUGGAGGCAGGGGGCCCAGCCGGGCUUGCUGGCUUGGGGAGCUGACUGGUCCGGUUUCCUGGGACCUCCCCCGCACCCUGGGGCCCUUUCAGGGUCCAGACGGCUACUCCCUCCCUGGUGGAGACCUGUCCUCUCAUGCAGAGCGUGAGUCCAUUCUAACUCAGCCGAGGAGAAUGCGGGCGGGUGUGUCUGUCUCUGCCAUCACAGUGACGCCGUCCCAGACGCUGCCAGGAGCUCAGGGCAUGACGUGCCCGCAGCUCCAGCCCAGCUCUGGGCACCUCUACUGACCUCGGUCGGCUUCUUCACACACCUGGGGUCACUGGUCCAAGAGACCAGAAGCCCCAGAUGGAGCCGGAGGGAAGCCCCUGGGUGGACGCAGAGCCCCAGGAAGCCACAGAGGGGGAAGGGCUGCACCCAGCGGAGUUUGGCCUCGUACAGGAUGGGGCACCUAUACGACGGGAGUGAGGACUUGGGGCUGCCACGGAAGGGAAGGGACGGUGAGCUGGACCCGACUGCCUGCAAAGAGUGAAAACGGCCAGAAGUCUGACAGUACACAAACUGCCUGGCCGGGUCCCGUCUGCAGGGGCAGAUGCACGCUGAGUGGGCACGUAGCCUGGGGCCAGGGCCAGACACUGCCCUGCUCUCUGGGCGUGAAGUCUAGGGGACUCGCUCCCCCCGACGGAGGCCAGGAGAUCCUGCUGGGCAGGCCCCUGGGAGGAGAGAUCUGCCCAUCACCAUCCAUCACGCUGGCCUUUGAAGCCAGCAUCCAGCCUCUUCCUCUUGGUGUUGUAAUGAGCUCCUGAUUAUUGAUUCCAUUGCUAUUUACAUAUUUUGUGAAGGAUGGAGACUUGAUCUGUGUUGCUAAGUAAGAGAAGUAUUAUUCUCUCACAGAAGGAAGUCUUAAAUAAAAAUAUUACCAUAAAGAAAAUGUAAGUUACUCCUCUAAUGUAUUCAGAUGGUCCUUGCCCGGCGUGCAGAUCCAUGUAGCUCUUAAUCAUUUCCUUGCCUGGCUGGCACCCAUACACAUGUGCUAUUGAUUUUUUUUCCCCAGCAAGUGUAAGAAAUAUACAUUUUAUUUACUCUUUAAGAAAUCCCAACACCCACGGGCUGCUGCUUUACAGCAGGCACAGUCUGCAGCUGUCAGAAAGCUCAACAGAGUCCGGGGAAAACAAAUCCCCAUCGUUCUGCUAAUGGAACUUCCCGGCUGCCCCAGAUGGAGGGGCGAGCUGGAGGGCGUCCAGGCGGCCGAUCCCAUCUCCAUGGACGGAAUCAGCUGCAGCAUGAGGCCCAGAAGGGUGGGAGGACGUCAAGGAACGACGGGGCUGGCCUCUCAAAGACAGACGGUCGCUGGGGGUUCGGGGAGCACUCAGGACGCCUUGUUUUCAUGGCUGAGAACACUCUCACACUGUUCCUGGCAUCGCAAGGGCCCCUUCCCAGAACCCGUCGGCUUACCUGACCUAGGGAGGCCCAAACAGCAUCUCCAGGGCUCACCUGGGCCCCAGGAGGCAGGAACCAUGAGAGACGGUGAGCUUCUCCCCCUAGAGGUCGGCGCGGUUUUGCGGGCUCCAGGCCGAAUUGAACUGAUGCUUUUGAACUGUGGUGUUGGGGAAGACCCUUGAGAGUCCCUUGGACUACAAGGAGAUCCAACCAGUCCAUCCUAAAGGAGAUCAGUCCUGCAUACUCAUUGGAAGAGCUGAUGAUGAAGCUGAAACUCUAUACGUUGGCCACUGGAAGCAAAGAACUGACUCAGUGGAAAAGACCCUGAUGCUGGGAAAGAUUGAAGGCAGGAAGAGAAGCGGACGACAGAGGAUGAGAUGGUGGGAUGGCAUCGCCGACUCAAUGGACAUGAGUCUGAGCAAGCUCUGGGAGUUGGUGAUGGACAGGGAGGCCUGGUGUGCUGAGGUUCAUGGGGUCUCAAAGAGUCGGGCAUGCCUGAGUGAUUGAACUGAACUGAACUGAACUGAAUCUAUCAGGAUUAGUCAGAAGGUUUUCCAGGAAGGAGAGACUCCCCAGGCAGGAUGCAUUGCUGUUAUAUAAUCCUUAGUACAGAGUUUAAGCUAAGUCUGUUGUGUAGUCGUCACUUCUGUGUUUAUGUGCCUAAGACUAAGGAAUGUAGAGAAAAAAGACGUUUGUCCUGUCCUCCUCCUUGAGAGCCCCAGAGCCCUCUCUCCUCCUCGGAGAGCCCGGGAGCUGACUUUCAUGCCCACCCCCCUCUCUCCCCAGCUCCUGGAAGCCAGCCCCCCGUCUUAUCUCCCCUGAACCCCAGGCCCCCCACCGUCUGGCUGCUGUCCCCAACAUCCAGGAAAACUCUUCCUCCCUGUGACGGACACGUGAGAGGCUGAGCAGGAGCAGAGCCAAGGGGUCGUCCCCGUC
This 5438-nucleotide long non-coding RNA is filed under the name Capra hircus (goat). Its description in RNAcentral is "lncRNA (ENSCHIG00000001715.1)". The record is from RNAcentral. Lineage: Eukaryota; Metazoa; Chordata; Mammalia; Artiodactyla; Bovidae.